This 469-nucleotide ribosomal RNA is filed under the name uncultured Helicobacter sp. Its description in RNAcentral is "bacterial SSU rRNA". It matches the Rfam family "Bacterial small subunit ribosomal RNA", at positions 8 to 507 of the family's 1533-position model. The record is from RNAcentral. Lineage: Bacteria; Pseudomonadati; Campylobacterota; Epsilonproteobacteria; Campylobacterales; Helicobacteraceae.
AGAGUUUGAUCCUGGCUCAGAGUGAACGCUGGCGGCGUGCCUAAUACAUGCAAGUCGAACGAUGAAUCUUCUAGCUUGCUAGAAGUGGAUUAGUGGCGCACGGGUGAGUAAUGCAUAGGUUAUGUGCCCUUUAGUCUGGGAUAGCCACUGGAAACGGUGAUUAAUACUGGAUACUCCCUACGGGGGAAAGUUUUUCGCUAAAGGAUCAGCCUAUGUCCUAUCAGCUUGUUGGUGAGGUAAUGGCUCACCAAGGCUAUGACGGGUAUCCGGCCUGAGAGGGUGAUCGGACACACUGGAACUGAGACACGGUCCAGACUCCUACGGGAGGCAGCAGUAGGGAAUAUUGCUCAAUGGGGGAAACCCUGAAGCAGCAACGCCGCGUGGAGGAUGAAGGUUUUAGGAUUGUAAACUCCUUUUGUUAGAGAAGAUUAUGACGGUAUCUAACGAAUAAGCACCGGCUAACUCCGUG